AUUGAACGCUGGCGGCAGGCUUAACACAUGCAAGUCGAGCGGAGCGAGGGUGCUUGCACCUUAGCUUAGCGGCGGACGGGUGAGUAAUGCUUAGGAAUCUGCCUAUUAGUGGGGGACAACAUUCCGAAAGGAAUGCUAAUACCGCAUACGCCCUACGGGGGAAAGCAGGGGAUCUUCGGACCUUGCGCUACUAGAUGAGCCUAAGUCGGAUUAGCUAGUUGGUGGGGUAAAGGCCUACCAAGGCGAGGAUCUGUAGCGGGUCUGAGAGGAUGAUCCGCCACACUGGGACUGAGACACGGCCCAGACUCCUACGGGAGGCAGCAGUGGGGAAUAUUGGACAAUGGGCGGAAGCCUGAUCCAGCCAUGCCGCGUGUGUGAAGAAGGCCUUUUGGUUGUAAAGCACUUUAAGCGAGGAGGAGGCUACUUAGAUUAAUACUCUGGGAUAGUGGACGUUACUCGCAGAAUAAGCACCGGCUAACUCUGUGCCAGCAGCCGCAGUAA
Molecule: ribosomal RNA, 501 nt
Filed under: uncultured bacterium
Lineage: Bacteria
Description: partial 16S ribosomal RNA
Rfam family: Bacterial small subunit ribosomal RNA
Source: RNAcentral